AGGAAGGUAGUGUAGUUAACACCUGCAUUAUUUGACGUUACCUACAGAAGAAGCACCGGCUAACUCCGUGCCAGCAGCCGCGGUAAUACGGAGGGUGCGAGCGUUAAUCGGAAUUACUGGGCGUAAAGCGCAUGCAGGCGGCCUGUUAAGUCAGAUGUGAAAGACCCGGGGCGUUAACCUACGGAAUUGCAUUUAGUAAACUAGGCAGGCUAGAGUCUUGUAGAGGGGGGUAGGAAUUUCAGGUGUAGCGGUGAAAUGCGUAGAGAUCUGAAGGAAUACCAGUGGCGAAGGCGGCCCCCUGGACAAAGACUGACGCUCAGAUGCGAAAGCGUGGGGAGCAAACAGGAUUAGAUACCCUGGUAG
This 363-nucleotide ribosomal RNA is filed under the name uncultured bacterium. Its description in RNAcentral is "bacterial SSU rRNA". It matches the Rfam family "Bacterial small subunit ribosomal RNA", at positions 441 to 793 of the family's 1533-position model. The record is from RNAcentral.